This is a non-coding RNA of Potamilus streckersoni, 75 nucleotides long. The record is from the annotation of a GenBank genome assembly. Lineage: Eukaryota; Metazoa; Mollusca; Bivalvia; Unionida; Unionidae.
UGGUGGCCUAGUGGUUAGAGCGUCCGCCUCAGAUGUGGGAGGUCGCGGGUUCGAACGCAAGCCGCAUCAUAACAA